GGCUGGUCCGAUGGCAGUGGGUUAUCAGAACUUAUUAACAUUAGUGUCACUAAAGUUGGUAUACCCCCCCCCACUGCUAAAUUUGACUGGCUUUAA
This is an unclassified non-coding RNA of Cavia porcellus (domestic guinea pig), 96 nucleotides long. It matches the Rfam family "Y RNA". Rfam says of the family: Y RNAs are components of the Ro ribonucleoprotein particle (Ro RNP), in association with Ro60 and La proteins. NCBI's taxonomy places the organism in Eukaryota, Metazoa, Chordata, Mammalia, Rodentia, Caviidae. The record is from Ensembl.